Molecule: ribosomal RNA, 465 nt
Filed under: Vreelandella stevensii
Lineage: Bacteria; Pseudomonadati; Pseudomonadota; Gammaproteobacteria; Oceanospirillales; Halomonadaceae
Description: partial 16S ribosomal RNA
Rfam family: Bacterial small subunit ribosomal RNA
Source: RNAcentral
CCUACGGGAGGCUGCAGUGGGGAAUAUUGGACAAUGGGGGGAACCCUGAUCCAGCCAUGCCGCGUGUGUGAAGAAGGCCCUCGGGUUGUAAAGCACUUUCAGUGAGGAAGAACGCCUGGUGGUUAAUACCCAUCAGGAAAGACAUCACUCACAGAAGAAGCACCGGCUAACUCCGUGCCAGCAGCCGCGGUAAUACGGAGGGUGCGAGCGUUAAUCGGAAUUACUGGGCGUAAAGCGCGCGUAGGUGGCUUGAUAAGCCGGUUGUGAAAGCCCCGGGCUCAACCUGGGAACGGCAUCCGGAACUGUCAAGCUAGAGUGCAGGAGAGGAAGGUAGAAUUCCCGGUGUAGCGGUGAAAUGCGUAGAGAUCGGGAGGAAUACCAGUGGCGAAGGCGGCCUUAUGGACUGACACUGACACUGAGGUGCGAAAGCGUGGGUAGCAAACAGGAUUAGAUACCCUAGUAGUC